This 110-nucleotide ribosomal RNA is filed under the name Kallipyga gabonensis. Lineage: Bacteria; Bacillati; Bacillota; Tissierellia. The record is from RNAcentral.
GGUGAUGAUAGCAAGAGGGAUCCACCUGUUCCCAUUCCGAACACAGCAGUUAAGCCUCUUCACGCCGAUGGUACUUGGUUGGAGACGACCUGGGAGAGUAGGAAAUCGCC